Molecule: unclassified non-coding RNA, 2142 nt
Filed under: Hevea brasiliensis (rubber tree)
Lineage: Eukaryota; Viridiplantae; Streptophyta; Magnoliopsida; Malpighiales; Euphorbiaceae
Source: RNAcentral
AAAAUCCUUUGAAAUCUCUUUCGAAUGAAGACAAAGAGUGCAUUUGUUAAUUCAAUCCUGCUAUCGCGGAGUUUAAAAUCAGUCAAAGACUUUUUAGGUUCUUUAAUCAAUCAGUUAAAUUCUCUUAAUCCUUAGCCUAUUUCUAGAUUUAAGCUAAUUAAGUCUAAUUUCCUGAUUAUCUAUCACUUCAUCUUCUCCUUUUGGUCCUUCAAUCAAGGAUUAAAAACAUAACUUAAUGGGAUCUUACACUAAGUAUAUCAUUAAACACACAAGAAAUAGAUAAAACUUCAUAAAAUUUAUAAAAUCUGAACUAACCCAGUUCAAAUUCUUAAAAUAACUCAAAUAUUACAUCUUUAACUUCAGAAUCUUAAAAAACUACUCACUAUCGAUGCUUUAUACAAGAGAUUCUAAGCUAAAGAAGGAAUAAAACAUGAAAAUAAACUAAAAUUGAAGAAACCCGAUGUUUGGUAUGAAGAAAUAAUGAAGAAGAAGAAUCCAAGCUCUUCAGACCAAAAAUAGCGUAUGUAUGCUACUUUCUCUCUCCCCCUUCAAAUUGUUUUCUUCUUAUAGCAAAAAGUGAUGUAAGGGAGCUUAAAUACCCUCUAACAAGAACCCUAGAUUAGGCUAAAAAUGGUGUGAGGUGAGGUCAUUGCAUGUAUGUAAUGAUUUGCCAUUUCAGUCAAUUGGCGAGAAAAUGCAUAGCUGGAACUGUGCUUUUGCAGUAUCUUAUGCGGAGUCAGGUUUGGAAAGGAUGAGUGAAAAUGGGUUUGGAUGGCCAUGUAGGUACUCUUGGCAUGAUGUAGCUGUUAUCUUGGGCUCUUGCAUAAGUGACUGCAUGGGCAUGCACGAAGUUAUGUAACUCUCGGCAGGUUUUAGCAUUUCUUCUAUUUUCUUAAUUCGAACUGCAUAAGCUAUGCAGCUUCUCAUGCAACCUUUGGUGACCUUCAAAUUCAUCAAUUUUUAAACCUCAUUUUUGGCAUCUUUGCACUUGAAUUUCAAUCUCAAAACAUGCAAUUAACUUUUAACUCCUAAAAAACACCAAUUAACUUAUAAAAUAAGAAUAAAUUCACAAAUUAAGCUAAAAAUUAACCAAUACAAAAAACUAAUUAAAUAACUAAUGAAAUUAAUUAAAAUUAACUAAUAAAAUGAUAAAAUGACUAUAAAAUCUAACCAGAAUAACUAUAUGGUAUAUCAAUACUGUUUUAAAUUAGAAUGUGAUUGCUGUAGAUUGAAGCUGGGAUGGUGCAGAAACAGUAUGUUGCGAAGGUCAUUGGAAUAUUUCCAGAGGAUGAGGUACACAAUUCAAACAUUUAAAAUUGGUUGCAAAAUAUUGCCUCUUGGCAGAGUAGGUAAGCAAUAAAAACACAACUGACUGCUAACUGGCAUCAAAAUUCUAAAUUAAGUUGUACAAAAAUUUUGAAUUUGUCUCACAAAUACUUCUCUUGCAAAAUGUGUUGGCAUCUUUAAUAAAAUUAAGAUUCUUAUUUCCCUAUUUGACAUUCACUAUGCAUUUCAUUUCAGCAAGUUGUUGAUGUUAACAUAAAUUAUAAUGCUCGAGAAGGAAGGAGCACAGCGGAGGUUGGUGACUCUUGCAGUGAUUUUCCCACUAAGGGGAAGGCUGCGUGUACCAAGUUUACCAGGAUAAGUACCAAUGGAACUCACAGCAUUGUUUUGUGUAAACCUAUCACUGGCCGAACUCAUCAACUGCCUUGCUUACAGACAUUCCAAAGGCUCUUAUGAUGAUCUUGAAUUUAAACCAUCUCGAGACGGCCAGGCUGUGUGAAAAUAGACCACAUGCAUAAUAUUGGCUUGAUUCCAGAACAUGAAGUCCUUGAUGCUAGGUCCCUUUCCUUCUUUAGAUAACAAACUGAGCAACAGCUGACAAUAAAAACUGGGACACUUUCCUUCUUCCUGAUCAGAGAAAUGUAUUUCUUUCAAUGGCUUUAAUUACUCCUGUUGGAAGAGUGAACAUGCUACAAAAAUAUGUUUUAAUCUCAUAAUCUUUUUGAUGUGGUCUUCCUCUUGUUUAAUAUCUAUAACUAUGUGAAUGUCUGAAUUUCAUUUCCCAUAAUUGUAAAUUUCCCCUUCCCUUUAUUGCUUCUGUUACUUAUUUUAUCGUUUUUAUUUUAUUGGCUUGGAUGA